AAAUAGUUAAAAAAUAGUUUUAAAACGUUUAAAAUAAUUUGCUUAUUGUCACUAAAAUUCUUGAUUUCCCUCUUUCAGAGCAGGUUUGUUGAUGGUGACCAUGUCCCAGUAGGAAGGGCACUUUAGCAGCUCAGGCCGGUGUCCAGGAUGAGCCCAGAAUUCCUCUUUCCCAGAGAAUUCCCUGCUGGCAGCAGCCUGCCCUCCCCAGGGCACACGGCGUGUGGGAUGUGCCUUUCUUUGGUGACCUUGGAUGGAUUUUUCUUCCAUGAACUCACCCAGGUCCUUCUACAGACCAAGCAGGAACUGGUACUUCCAGACUGGUACCAAAGAGAAUAUUGUGACUGAACAUCAGCUCUGCAAAACAAAAGGAGGUUGGCUGCAGUUUGAUUUAUGUGGAGAGACUCAGGCAAAUUCUGCACCAGCCACAACAUUCAUUAUGCAAAGGGAAAGCGCCGGGCUGCUAACACAGGGAGCUGGGAAAACACGGACCGGAUUCCUGCUGGAGUCCGGAAUGGAGUCGGCAAAAGUGAAAAUUUGGACUAGAUUUCUCCAAGGUUCCGGAAUGGAGUCGGAAAAAUGGAAAACCCGGGCAGGAUUCCAGCCGGAGUCUGGAGUGGAGUCAGCAAAAGGGAAAACCUAG
This 640-nucleotide long non-coding RNA is filed under the name Zonotrichia albicollis (white-throated sparrow). RNAcentral's name for it is "lncRNA (ENSZALG00000015318.1)". The record is from RNAcentral. Lineage: Eukaryota; Metazoa; Chordata; Aves; Passeriformes; Passerellidae.